GAAAAUGAAAACUCUUGAAGCUGCUAACUUUAAGCCUUGCAAUAAUAUGUAACAUUUUCU
This 60-nucleotide transfer RNA is filed under the name Perforatus perforatus. RNAcentral describes it as "tRNA-Ser". Lineage: Eukaryota; Metazoa; Arthropoda; Thecostraca; Balanomorpha; Balanidae. The record is from RNAcentral.